GGCGCCGGCUUCUCCUUCAGCAGCUUCCAAAUGUUCUGGGUGCGACAGGCGCCCGGGAAGGGGCUCAAGGCUGUUGCGGUUAUUAACAACGAUGGUAGUAGCACAAACUACGCGCCAGCGGUGCAAGGGCGCUUCACCAUCUCCAGGGACAACUCCCAGAGCACGCUCACGCUGCAGAUGAACAGCCUCAGGGCCGACGACACGGCCACCUACUACUGCGCCAAAGCUG
Molecule: non-coding RNA, 229 nt
Organism: Pelecanus crispus (Dalmatian pelican)
Lineage: Eukaryota; Metazoa; Chordata; Aves; Pelecaniformes; Pelecanidae
Source: the annotation of a RefSeq genome assembly